This 403-nucleotide ribosomal RNA is filed under the name uncultured bacterium. RNAcentral describes it as "bacterial SSU rRNA". It matches the Rfam family "Bacterial small subunit ribosomal RNA", at positions 28 to 429 of the family's 1533-position model. The record is from RNAcentral.
GAUGAACGCUAGCGGCAGGCUUAAUACAUGCAAGUCGAGGGGCAGCGGGAGUAGCAAUACUUGCCGGCGACCGGCGCACGGGUGCGUAACACGUAUGUAAUCUGCCCAUCACAGGAGGAUAGCCCGGAGAAAUUCGGAUUAAUACUCCAUAAUAGAAGAUAAAGCAUUUUAUUUUCUUGAAAGUUCCGACGGUGAUGGAUGAACAUGCGACCGAUUAGUUUGUUGGUGAGGUAACGGCUCACCAAGACUACGAUCAGUAGGGGUACUGAGAGGUUAAACCCCCACACUGGUACUGAGGACACGGACCAGACUCCUACGGGAGGCAGCAGUGGGGAAUUUUGGACAAUGGGCGCAAGCCUGAUCCAGCCAUUCCGCGUGCAGGACGAAGGCCUUCGGUUGUAAC